Molecule: ribosomal RNA, 253 nt
Filed under: uncultured prokaryote
Description: partial 16S ribosomal RNA
Rfam family: Bacterial small subunit ribosomal RNA
Source: RNAcentral
ACAGAGGGGGCAAGCGUUGUUCGGAGUUACUGGGCGUAAAGGGCGCGUAGGCGGCCUCCUAAGUCGAACGUGAAAUCCCCGGGCUUAACCCGGGAACUGCGUCCGAGACUGGGAGGCUUGAAUCCGGGAGAGGGAUGUGGAAUUCCAGGUGUAGCGGUGAAAUGCGUAGAUAUCUGGAGGAACACCGGUGGCGAAGGCAGCUCGCUGGGACGUUACUGACACUGAGGCGCGAAAGCGUGGGGAGCGAACAGGA